CAGUCGCCGCGGUAAAACGAGGGGGGCAAGCGUUGUUCGGAAUUAUUGGGCGUAAAGGGCGCGUAGGCGGUUUGGCAAGUUUGGUGUGAAAUCUUCGGGCUCAACUCGAAGUCUGCAUCGAAAACUGCCGGGCUUGAAUAUGGGAGAGGUGAGUGGAAUUUCCGGUGUAGCGGUGAAAUGCGUAGAUAUCGGAAGGAACACCUGUGGCGAAAGCGGCUCACUGGACCAUUACUGACGCUGAGGCGCGAAAGCUAGGGGAGCAAACAGGAUUAGAUACCCCAGUAGUCCCUGUCUCUUAUAA
RNAcentral lists this ribosomal RNA (301 nucleotides) under uncultured bacterium. RNAcentral describes it as "partial 16S ribosomal RNA". It matches the Rfam family "Bacterial small subunit ribosomal RNA", at positions 509 to 809 of the family's 1533-position model. The record is from RNAcentral.